Non-coding RNA from Danionella cerebrum, 75 nucleotides. The record is from the annotation of a GenBank genome assembly. NCBI's taxonomy places the organism in Eukaryota, Metazoa, Chordata, Actinopteri, Cypriniformes, Danionidae.
CCAGUUGUGUCCGAGUGGAUAAUGAGACUAACUGGUGAUCAGAAGGUUGCUGGUUCAAUCCCCAGCUCAAUUGGG